Molecule: ribosomal RNA, 465 nt
Filed under: uncultured bacterium
Lineage: Bacteria
Description: partial 16S ribosomal RNA
Rfam family: Bacterial small subunit ribosomal RNA
Source: RNAcentral
CCUACGGGAGGCAGCAGUGGGGAAUAUUGCGCAAUGGGCGAAAGCCUGACGCAGCGACGCCGCGUGAGGGAUGAAGGUCUUCGGAUCGUAAACCUCUGUCAGCAGGGAAGAACGGUCACUGUGCUAAUCAGCAGUGAAUUGACGGUACCUGCAAAGGAAGCACCGGCUAACUCCGUGCCAGCAGCCGCGGUAAUACGGAGGGUGCGAGCGUUAAGCGGAAUUACUGGGCGUAAAGCGCUCGUAGGCGGUAUGUCAAGUCAAGGGUGAAAUCCCCGCGCUCAACGUGGGAACUGCCUUUGAAACUGGCAAACUGGAGUGUGUGAGAGGAUAGUGGAAUUCCAGGUGUAGGAGUGAAAUGCGUAGAUAUCUGGAGGAACAUCAGUGGCGAAGGCGACUAUCUGGCACAUAACUGACGCUGAGGAGCGAAAGCGUGGGUAGCAAACAGGAUUAGAUACCCUUGUAGUC